RNAcentral lists this long non-coding RNA (10882 nucleotides) under Heterocephalus glaber (naked mole-rat). RNAcentral's name for it is "lncRNA (ENSHGLG00000033091.1)". Lineage: Eukaryota; Metazoa; Chordata; Mammalia; Rodentia; Bathyergidae. The record is from RNAcentral.
CUUCUUAAAGUUUUAUACUUUUAGUCUUUCAUAUUUAGGUUCAUAGAUCCUUUCAAGUUAUUUUUGUGUAUGGAAAUAAAGGUUUGAGGUUGAUUUUUUAUAUAUGGAUACCAGUGUUCUAGUGCCAUUUGCUGAAAACAUUAUCUUUUCCUCUGCUCUUGAAUUGAAUUUAUGUUCUAUAAAAUAUUACUGUUAAAUAAUCUCUCAAAACUCAGUGGACCAUAUAUGUGUGGUUCUAUUUCUAGAUUCUCUGUCUUAUUCCAAUGAUCUAUAUGUCUUUCCUUAUGCCAACACUGCCUUGAUUACUAUAGCUUUAGAGGAAGUCUUAAAAUUAGGUACUAAAUAUCUUCCAACACUGCUUUUUUUUCUUUUUUACUCUUCUAGGUCCUUUGUACUCCUACAUAACUUUUAAAUUUCAAUAUCCAAUUCUUCAUUUAUAGCAAGUAUACACAGACCUGAAUUUUUACAUAUACCUUGUGUUUUUUGUUUGUUUGUUUGUUUGUUUUUGUUUUUGUUUUUGUUUGGUACUGGGGAUCAAACUCGGGUCCUUGCACUUGCACAGCACGCAGCUAAAUCCCCGGCCCUACCUUGUGUUUUCUAAUCCUGCUAAAUUCAAAUACAAGCUCCAGGGGCUCCUAGAGAUUUCUUAGUAUUUUCUCUGUAGAUUAUCAUUUCAUCUACAUAUAAAGAUUUUACUUAUAUCUUCACAAUCCUAUCCUAAUUGUGUCAUUUUAUUGCCAGACUAUUUUGGUUUGGGCUUAUGUUUCAAAAUUUAAUGGACUGAUGAAGAGUGGGCAUAUCUGCCCUUGUUCCCCACCUUAGGGAGAAAGCAUUGUAUCUUCACCAUUCAUAUAAGGCAUUUUUGCUGGAAGUAUGGAGUACAUGUCUUUGAUCUGUUGGGAGGGUUCUGUUCUGCUUCUAGUCUCCUGAUAGCUUUUACCAUGAGCGGCUGUAGAAUUUAGUCUAAUACUUUUUCUCCAACUACUGACAGGAUCAUGUGACUUUUUCCUUUCCUCUGUUAAAAUGAUAACUUUUGGGGGUGGAUCUUUCAAUGCUGAACCAACACUGCCAUCCCUAUAACAAAACCACUUUCUACAUACUGUCAGAUCUGACUUCUAAUUGUUUUGUUAAACAAAUUUCUAUCUAUGUUCAUACUUUUUUCUUCUAUUACCUUUAUCCAGUUUUAGGAUUAGCAGAAUGUUGAUUUCCUAAAAUGAGGGGAUAAGUAUUCCUUCUUUUUUCUGCUUUAAAUGUUUGAUAUAAUUUAUCAGUUAAAAUGUAUAUGAGCCUGUUGUCAUAUAGGUAGGUUUUCAAGCUAGGGUUAUACUUUCUUUAAUAGGUACUAUUCAAAUUUAAUAUUUCCUCCAGAGUUAGUUUCAUCAAUUUGUCUUCAAAGGUACUUCUUAGAAGUUAUCAAAUUUAUUUCAAAAAAGAUUUUUGUAAUAUGCUUUCUACACCCUUUUAAAUUCUGCAAAAUCUGGGGUAAUGUAUUCUAGAUCUUGAUAUUGUAACUUAAACAGAUGCAUAAUUGAUAUUGUUUAAUAGGAAGAAAAGGUCUAAAGGAGUAGGGGAAGUGAGAGGGGUAGGGGAAAGGAAACAAGGGAAAAGAAAAAAGAUGAGAAAAGGAAAAAAAUGGAAACAAAGUCUUUGUAAAUAGCGAAGGGUGGAGGGGGUGAAGGGAGGGCAGGGGAAGAGGAAAAAAAUAAGAACCAAGAUACAUCAUGUAAAGGUACAAGAUCCUAAUGAUGAAUGUAACUGUAUUUUAUACGUAAAAUGUACCAAUAAACUUAUUGAAAAAAAGUUUUUUAGUAUGUGUUUUACAGUGCAUAAUGUUUACAUUCCUUGUGGGGAGUUGGUACAUAUGUGUAACACAUCUCAAUUGUUUUUUCCCCUUUCUCUCCAUUCACCUUAAAAAAUUUUUUUUGCCAGCAUCAGAUUCACUUAUUUAUUUUAUAAAUCCUUAUUAAGUUGAUUAUCAUAAAUUUAGAUUAACAACCAGAAUAACAGGCCAAAAAAACCCAUAUAAAAUAUUGUAUCCUUCUACUUUAGAUUUAUUAUUUUUAAAAAGACUAUAGUUGAGUUUAUCAGUUUGGGUGUGUUUUUGUUUUCUUUCUUUUUUUUUGAUACACAUGGACAAUCUUAAUCUUUUUUAUAGGGCAAUUAGUCUAUUUACACAUUUAAUAUUUGUGUUUAAUUCUACCAUUUUAGUUUAUGCUUUCCAUCGUGUCAGUUAUUCUACUUCUCUCUGUGUCCCUCUUUCCCUCUCUCCUUUCUUUUUUAAUGUAUUGAUUUUAUUAAUUUGAACUUCUCCUCGUUGGAUUUUUCACUUUUACUUUUAGAAUAAAAGUCUUUAUGUUGCCUUCAUUUUUGCUGACUAUAGAAUUCUAGGUAGGCAGUUAUUUUAGAAUAUUGAAGAUAUUUUUGUGUUAGGGCUGGUUUUUUUGGGUGUUGUUUUUGUUUUUCUAGAAGUCAGUUACUACUCUAUCAUGCCUUUGAAAGUAAUCUUUUUCUCUAGUUUAAGAUUUUUCUUUCUUUUGGCUUUUCCUGCAAGCCAAAAUGUGGAUCUCUUUAUAUUUAUUCUAUUAGGGAUUGAUAGACUCCUGAAUUUGUGAAUUGCUAUCUUUAAAAUCUAGAAAAUUAUUAGCAAUUUCUCUUCAAUUAUUGCCUAUAUUACAUUCCUCUCUAUUUCCUUCUUUUUUUUAUUAAGUUUAUUGGUACAUUUUAGGCAUACAUUAUGAUCACAUUCAUCAUUGGGAAUUUGUACCUGUACAUGAUGCAUCUUGGUUCUUGUUUUUCCCAUUCCCCUUCUCUCCCUUCCACCCCUCCACCCCUCCCUAUUUUGUUUGUUUUUUCCUUCUUUUCUCAUGUUUUUUUCUUUCUCUUCUUUCCUCCCCCCCCCCCGUUCCACUUCCACUUUGGACCUUUUCUUCCUAUUUCACACUGUUAUACAUUUUGGUCCUCAUUUAUAUGUUCACUCUUUGAUAUGAUUAGAGGCAUCUGUCUCUAGGACAUAACAUUGUGCUAAGUGUUGACAAACUGACUUAUGGGUCAGCCCUGUUUCCAUAAGUAAAAUCUGAAUACAGCUCUGAUUAUUUAGACCUAAGCUCCCCACUGCCUUCUUUCUAAAUUACAAUGAGAGAGUUGAAUAAUUACAAUAGAGACAAUAUGGGCUUUAAGAUCUAAAAUUAACUUUUUGGCCUUUUAACCAAAAGUUACCAAUCUGUACUCUUGUUUUUAUCAUCUUGUCUGUUUUCUUCCUCAUCCUUUUAGUCUUUCCUGAUACUUCUUAUUUAUAUUCCAGUUCCCUAGUCUGUUUUUUUCUAUAUCUGAUCUAGUGCUAAACUUAUACAUUAAAUAUGUAAUUAUGGUUACUGUAUAUUUUCUUUCUUUUUUUUUUGGCACCAGGGAUCGAACUGAGGACCUCGCACUUGCGAGGCAGGCAGCAGCACCACUGAGCUAAAUUCCCGGCCAGGUUACUGUAUAUUUUCAUUUUACAAUUUCCACUCAGGUUUUAUUUUCAAAUCCAAGUCAUUUACUUCCCACCUGAAAUGUUCAAGCUUUUCAUUUUAUCUUUAAAGACAGGAAACAUGAUUUUGGUGUCUGUGUCUGGUACUUUCAUUGUCUUAAAUUUUUGUGGAUUUAUUUCUGUGGUCUUUUUUUUUUCAAAACCUGCUUUUUAUUCCUAUAGAUUUCAACUUACUCUCUUGGUUUUAUUUGUAGAAAUAAUCUGAGCCUAGAUUAAAAACACCUGCGUUCACCAAGAAUUUUAAUUUGCUCUGACAUUCUGUGGCUGCCUUAGUUGAAGUUCUAGGCUUGAGAUUCCCAGAAUCACUCAUGUGAAGGACUCUGUUACUUCCAAUUCACUUCUGCUCUAGCAGCAGUUCCUAAGUCUACACUUGUCCUCACAUUUCACCUGGGAAACCUCAACAGCUACUAAGCCUCUGUCCUAUGGUCAAAGGUUGAGAUUUGAUUGGUCUGUGGUGUGGACUGGGCUUCAGAAUUUUUUUGUUCUUGAUUUUGCUUCAGAAUUUUUUAAAGCUCUCUAGUGAUUCUAACAUGCAGACCACUUUGUAAGGUGGUGCUCCCAGUGCAAUGCUGUUAGGGACCUCAACUUAAUGUAUGGUUAUCUAUCAGACUCUGCACUCUGCAAUCCCUUUUAUCUGUUCUGCCCAGUGGGCCUGCCAAAUACCACAGCUGCAUGUUGCUGCUGUCUUUUCCGAUAGCUGCAAAAGCAUCCUUUGGGUACUUGCGUCUCAGAGUGUCACAAGUUUUUGACAUGGAAAUCUUUCACUAAUUUAUUAGCUCUUCAAUAUUUUUUCAGAAAAAUUGUAUGUAGAUAUAUCCAUAUAUUAUUUGUAUGUAUUUCAUACAGCUGUGUUAGUCGACCUCAACAAGAGGGGUGAUAUAGUCUGGUGUUAAAAGAAUUAAGUCUUCCAGUUGCUUUUUUAAUAGGAGGAAUAAGGGAGUUUUAGAGUUCUUACCUUUCGGAAAAUGUCUUUAUUUACUUUCUGGAAUCAUAAUUUGGCUGGGAUUUGAAAUCUAAGUUGAAAUUUAGUUUUUCUUUAAAUAUUUGAAGGCACUGUCUUGAUCUAUUUUAACAUUCAUUAUAGCUGUUGAAUGAUCCUAUUCAUUGUUUAUGCUCUUCCCCUUGUAAAUCACUUUCCCUCUCUGGGAAAUGAUUAGGAUUUUCUCUUCCCUUGGGAUGCUGAUAUCUCACAAUCACAUAUAUAGAACAGGCCUUAUUUCAUUCAUGUUUCCAAGCAUAAAAAGGGACAUAUUUGAUCUGAAGAUUUUAAUUUCUGCUGCUGGGAAAUUUUAUUGCCGUGUAACUUUCAGCUUUUCCUUCUCUGUAUUUCUCUCUCUUUCUCUUUUAAAGAAUCAUUUUGUUCAGCUUUUGGCCUUCCUAGAUCCAUUCUGUAUAUUACUGACCAUGUCCUUCCUAAUUCUUAAUGCAGUUUCUUUCUGUACUAACUCGUGGAAGACAUAUUCAAUUUUACUCUCCAAUUUGAUUCACUUUUUAUUUCCAGAAGAAAAGUUAUUGUUCUUUGAUUUACCCUUUUACGUAACCUCUAUUUCUGGGCAUAGGAUACAUAUCUUUGCUUAUUUUCCUAAGGAUUAUAGAUUUUAAAAUCUUAUAUCCUUUUAUAUCUUUUUUCCUCUGGUUGUUUUGUUUUUAUUUAUUUUUCCUUGUAUUGGUCUUCCUCUUUCUGUUAGAGGUUUUCCUCACUUAUCUGGGGAAACUUGGCACUCUGUUAAUAAUUAACAGUGAGUCUUUAAAAGAUUGCCUGUAUGGCCUGAGUGUGUGUGCAGAACUUAUUGACCCAUAAACUCCUUUUGGGAGUAAUUGAACUGGAGUUCACAAAUGCAAACCAAUAAACAAAGCUGAUUUUUCCUUUCAUCAUUUAGUUUGUUAAAAAAAUAUCUUCACAUAUCUGUGGCAUGAAGAGGGCAGUUUAAGAAAGGGUGGCUGUGUAGUUCAACUAUUUCUUUUACAGGUAAUUGUGUCUCCCUGAGGCUGCUUCCAACUGAGUAACCCUUAGUCUAAACCUUUUUCAUCAAAUUAUACAGAAAAGUACUCUUUAAUCACCAGUGGAGGAAACCAGUAGCCUGACUGCUUGAGGUGAAAGAAGAAUGUAACUAUUCCAUGAGAGACUUUCAACACCUAUUUUUAGCCCCUCACCUCACCUCAGCCCUUCAUUAUCCUUGUACUUGCUGUCUCCAAAGCUUGAGAAUCUCAGGCUUUCCACUGCAGGCCUGUAGCUAAUUUACUCUUGGUAACCCAUCUCCAGGUGACUCAGAUCAUUGCUUCCUCUGCUCUGCUAAAUCCCUCCACCUGGUCCUAUAUUCCAAAACUGUGUUAAUUUUCUUAUCUCCUUAUCUUCUUCAUUAUUCUCUUCUUUUUUAAAAAAAAUAGGUUUUUACCUUUUUUGUUGUAGUUCCUUUACCUUCAAGUUAAUAGCAUCUCUGUUGUGGCUCAUGCCUAGAUAUUCCUCCAAAGCCUCAUGCAGUCUUUAUCAGAGGUGGCUGGAUCUAGUAUGUGAUGCUAGGAUUGAUUCAUGGUGCAAUGCUAGGCCCAAGGGCACUAGGAUUAAGGGUAUGAAUGCUGCCCGCCUUAAGUAAUCUGAAUAAGAUAAAAGGGGCAGAAAGACACUUACAUUCUCUUAUUGCUUUGCUACUAUCUGUCCACCAUGAAUUGUUGCCCCUCUACCACCCUGCUUGGCGCCAGCCAAUUAUGGAUUGAAACCUCUAUGAACUGUGAGCUAAAUAAACCCUUUCCUUUUUAACUUUGGGUGUCAGGUAUUUUGUCUCAGCAAUGAGAGAAAAGUAAGACAAUCUCAAAAAAGAGAGAAGAUUGAAAAAAACCCUGCCACUUAAAAAUAUACCCCAAUUAACUUUAGAUGGUUUGUCUAUUAAAGACAAUUCUCUUGGGGUUUUGUUAGGCUUGCUUUGGGUUUCUAGGCUAAUUUAAGAAUUGUCAUUUCUAUGUUAUUAUGUAUUCCUAUUUUAAGAACAUGGUAACCCUCUCCAUUUAUUUUGAGCACGGUGACCUGCAAGGUUACACAGUUUUCUUCAUGUUAUUCUUACUAGUAAAAACAUUUCUCUGAUGAACAGCAUGAGACACAAUUGGAAAGCAAAUUCAUGAGCUUGAAGAAUUACCUUAUGAAUUGACUUAGAAUACGGUGCAAAAAGACAAAAAGUAUGAUAGAGGACUAAGAGAUCCCCAAAAAUAGAUACAGCAAUUCCAACAGCAUUCUAAUAAGAAUUUCAGGAGAAGAAAACAGAAGAGAAGAAUUAAUUAUUUUUUAAAAUUUCCUGAAGUUGCAGAAUAAGGAAAACACGCACCCCUCCCAUACACCUUAAUCUACAUUGUGCAAAAUUUCAGAAAGGUAAAGAGAAAAUUUCAAAGGAUUCAAAAUAGAAAAUCACAUCAAUGGUUUAAUGUGAGGACUAUUUCUAUCCCCAUUUUAGAUAAGAAUUACCAACUGUAGAACCAGCAAAUAAAGCCUGCAAAUAUUUGCUUCUUCUGAGCAAGUUGUACCUAUUGUUCAUAUCGGACAGUCAGGUGGGUGCCACGUGUCAGCAUUGAAUUCCGAGUGUUGUCAUUGCCCACCAUUGAGGGGCUACUGAAUUGCAGCAGAUAGCACAGGACUCAUCUGUCCUCCCAGAUAUUGUAACACUUCCAGACUUCUUUCUCUGACCCUAUCCACUUGGAGAACCACCCUCUCCUCUCACUCUUAUAACACCUGAAAACCCCUGUUUGGAACAAAAGUUGAGACUUGGAUACUUCGUAUUCAAAAUCUUCAUUCCACUAGAAUGAAUGAGGAAUAUCCUUGAUAGGAAGGAAAACCUAGAGCAAAGUAUGAGGGUGCUCAAGUCCUCACAUACUUAAGCCCCAACCCCCUAGUUCCCUACCUUUAUUUAAAGGUCCAAAGAGAGAUAAAUACAUUCAUUCCAAGAUCCCCUUGAGAUUUCUAAGUGCUCUGUCCAGGACACUAAUAGAGUGUGAGACAAGUCAAAUGGUGUAGUAGCAUGUGUAUACACCUAUAUUUGAAGAAGUACAUUCCUUUGCUUAGGAGGGACACACCCAAACCACCUAACAAGGCAGGCUUUAUCCUUCCUUUUACAGUUGGAGAAAUGGUUGUAAAUGGCAUCCUAAAUAGUGUAUGAGCUUAAUGGGUAGUGCCUUCAAAUCAGGUAAUCAGAUUUUUCUCCUUCCAUUUUGAACUAUUUUAGAUACAUGGGUGAAUUGAAAUGUAUUUCUAAUAUGCCUUUGAAAACAUAACUUGGAGCUCUUUUCUGUACCAUUCCUGGUACUGGGAAAAGAAAGAAGAACAUGAGUCCCUUUCAAUGGGUAAAGAUUCUAGUUCCAUCAACUACUACUGUCCAGGCAGACUCUAAUAAGCCAUUAAAACUCCACAGUUCUUCAGUCCCUAAUCUUCACAUAGAAAUACUGCUGGCUUUGCCUACCUGACUCAGACUUUUUGUGUGUGGAUGUAGUCUGAUAAUAUAUAUGAAAAAGUUAUAGGAAAACCUAGAGGGCAUUAUCAUUUUCUUCUGAUGUCUUUUUAAAAAAUUUUAAAAUAACUUUAUUAUCAAACACACACACAAAAUUAAAACCAUUCAAAGAAGAACAAUGCAAGGGGAAAAAAACUACAAUAAUAUUCAAAUACAGUAGAAAUCAACCAAAACAAAACUGAAAAGCGCUUCAACAUUUUUCCAUAUAACUUAAAAAAGCAUCUCAAGCACCAACAAGACACCAGAGGAUGUGAUUUGUUUCAUAAAGAUCUCCAAAACCAACUGUGAACAAAUAAUGAUGUGGAAAAAAACUCCAGUUAGUUAGCAGACUCCACAUAAAGACAAACUUCUCCCUAAUUUAAAUUUCGACACAGUCAUCUGAGACGUGAUGGAAACACAAUCUGAGAAAUAUGUUAUUAAGCCAUUUCAUCUGUGUGUAUCCUUUGUUUUCAUUAAUCUGAGUUACUAAAUUAAAGCUGAAUUCAAAUUAUGAUUUCAUUUCACACAAGGAUGAGCAAUGUCUCUUUCUUGGUGUAUAGUGGUUGAAUCGCUUUCUCUCUUAUGUCCUACUAUCUCUUUUUCAUUGAGUGUUUUCAGGGUGUAUGUGAGUCAUUUAUGUCCUGGAUCAUGGUCUAACAUUCUCUGUUCUUCCCUUGAAGCAUGAAGAAGGAAGAUACGGUGCUACUGGCUGGCUGGAUCCUUUCUGAGCUGUACUAAGCAGUGAGAUCCAUAAUCUUUGAGCUUUCCAAAGGAUGUCCCAGUUGGGUCAGCAAGUAUGUGAACAUGCUCUCUGCAGCUUUAAAGAGAAUUGAAGAGUGAUUUGCCCAACUGGAGGAUGCUGUUGUGGGAAGCACAUCUGGCAGAAUCCAGAUGGAGGAUAUCUGGAACAGUGGGGACAACUGGAAUUCAAGGUUGAGAGAAACACAUCUAGGGGAUUUAGAGGUGCUUUGGGGAAGAGGGAGAAUGGGAAAGUCCUUGGUGUUACAAGCAGAAAAGAGUGAUGAUGUGGUGCUCUCCCAAUUCUCUAGUGUUCACUGAGCUGCUUGGGGUAGAGAAGAACACAGUUGAGUCACCUGGAAGCAGUUUGGAAUGACUUUUUCUAGGUGCUAUAAAUGAGAAAACAGCCUGAGACCAAGAAUGAAGAAAGCAGCUACUUGUCCAUCUUGUAGCAGAUGUUUGACCAGAUGGCCACUGCAUGGCCUUUGUUGAGAAGAAACCACCUGGCUUUUAAGGAUUCUACAGAAAUCAAGCAAUGGAUCAACAAGUGGAGAAAAGCACCUGUUAGAGAUGAGGAUCCACACUAGCUGCUUUGAGCUUGAAGAUGCAUGGCACAGUUGCUGUCUUCAACCAACCACUGAUUUAAAUGAAAGAUAAGAUGUAACAGUGGACGUUUUUCCUUGCUUCCCUAAUGUCUCUUGGGAAACCACGUUUCAGCAAUUCCUAAGUCAUAUGUAUGUGGCAGCACUAUCUCCAGAUCGAGGCCAUAAUUCCCAGGCCAAAAGCCAAGGACAAAGGGAUGGGUCAGUAGUACAAGUUGAGCCCAAAUAAAUAGCCCUACAUCUUCCCAGAGCUGUGACGAAGAGGCUCCAGUCUGUAGAAUGAGUCUCCAGCACCAAGAGUAUAGGGAGGAAAGGAAAGAGAGAAAGGAACAUUGGUUAGAUUGUGUUGUUGGAGCAUUGAUACAGCCUUGCCUGAAGUUCCCUGGAUUUCCCUGAAGACCUUGGGCUUUCCAGGUACAUGAUACAUAAUCUUCAUCCCCUUUUUUUCCUUGAGCCAGUGUAAGCUGGGUUUCUCUCCUUGUCAGCUGAAGAGCCCUAAGAAUUGGUACUUUACUUUAGUCAACUGGAAUGGCUUCUUAGACAGUCUGCUACCAUUCAUCUUCCGGACAUCAAGCCCAGCUGAGGGUUUUGGCAAACAAGCCCAGCAUGAGUGUUGAUAAAUUUGCUGUAACUGCCAGACUUUUCUGCUGGCUAUUUUAAGGUUGAUGUGUUUUCAGAAGCUAGGAGAGAAACUGCUAGGACACUUAUUUGGUGACAUGUAGAUUAAUCUGAUCUUCACUAGCAAUGCCCUCAUUUGAUCACAAUAACCAUUCCUAAUAAGACAUCCCUCUGUCCUAUAAAAUCAGUUUUCUACCUGUGUGAAUGCGAUCCAGAGGCAAUAUUUGAGGCAGCAUUUGAUUCUUUGGCUCUUAGUAUAAAUAUGGGAUGUAACUGAAUAUGUGACUUAUAACUUCAGUUACCUUUUCCAUUCAUAAUUCUGUGUUAGAAACUGAUCUAUAAUCUCAGAUGAGUCACAGCUGGGAUUACUAAAAGAGAAAAUUCAGCCCAGGCUUAGGGUAACAGAAAAGACAAGAGAUAUUUUUGAAAUAUAUUUGAUAUUUCCAGGACCCUCACCUUCACCCAAGAUACCAACAUCCAAUGUUGCUCAGGAAUCUUACAUAUAAUGGCAUAGUAUUUGUGUAUAACCUACAUACAUCUUCCUGUAUAGUUUAACCAUCUCUAAAUUGCUUACAAUAUAUAAUCAAUAUAAAAUCCACAAAAUAGCUAUUAUGCUAUAUUGCCUAGGGAAUAGUGACAAGGAAACAUAGUUACUAGAGAAACAUAAAAAUAUUUUCAAUCCAUGGUUGGUUGAAUCCACAGAUACAGAAAACAUGGUUAUGGAGGGCUGACUAUAUUCAUUUUGUAAGUUAGAAUUGUAUUGAUGUUCAAUUAUAUAUUAGUCGGGAGUGAGAAAUAUACCAUAAUUUAGCCUCUGAAUAUUUUAAUCUAUUUCUAAAUGCCAAGCAAAGAAAUAAAAACUAAAAAAGAAACAGAAGAAAAAUGUAUACUACUGUGAGAAAUGUGGUCUAAAUAAAGAACAAGGAAAG